AUACUUUGUAGAUGUGAUUUUGAAGUUGAAAUGUCAUGAAAUAUUUUGUGGUGUUAAUGAGGGCACAUUGGUUUGAUAUAUACGUUGAAUUUAUUAACAUGUUAGAGUGUGUUUGGAGAUGGUUUUUGACCUAUGAAAUUGUGUAAUUGACUGUGUUUAGGUACCUAAGAGAAAGGGUGAAAUUUGAGCAAAGAAUCGGUUAUUUUGUGCACACACGACCUGGGACAUAGGUUGUUACACAGCGGUGUGAAGCACACGGGAAACCCACAUGGG
This 273-nucleotide long non-coding RNA is filed under the name Gossypium barbadense (sea-island cotton). RNAcentral's name for it is "long non-coding RNA (GBAR_LNC018030)". The record is from RNAcentral. Lineage: Eukaryota; Viridiplantae; Streptophyta; Magnoliopsida; Malvales; Malvaceae.